CAACUUUCAACAAUGGAUCUCUUGGUUCUGGCAUCGAUGAAGAACGCAGCGAAAUGCGAUAAGUAGUGUGAAUUGCAGAAUUCAGUGAAUCAUCGAAUCUUUGAACGCACAUUGCGCCCCUUGGUAUUCCAUGGGGCAUGCCUGUUCGAGCGUCAUUG
Molecule: ribosomal RNA, 158 nt
Filed under: Bambusicola thailandica
Lineage: Eukaryota; Fungi; Ascomycota; Dothideomycetes; Pleosporales; Bambusicolaceae
Description: 5.8S ribosomal RNA
Rfam family: 5.8S ribosomal RNA
About the family: 5.8S ribosomal RNA (5.8S rRNA) is a component of the large subunit of the eukaryotic ribosome. It is transcribed by RNA polymerase I as part of the 45S precursor that also contains 18S and 28S rRNA.
Source: RNAcentral